RNAcentral lists this ribosomal RNA (411 nucleotides) under Actinomycetes bacterium. Its description in RNAcentral is "Actinobacteria bacterium partial 16S ribosomal RNA". It matches the Rfam family "Bacterial small subunit ribosomal RNA", at positions 355 to 776 of the family's 1533-position model. The record is from RNAcentral. Lineage: Bacteria; Bacillati; Actinomycetota; Actinomycetes.
UGGGGAAUAUUGCACAAUGGGCGCAAGCCUGAUGCAGCGACGCCGCGUGGGGGAUGACGGCCUUCGGGUUGUAAACUCCUUUCGCUAGGGACGAAGCUUUUUGUGACGGUACCUAGAUAAGAAGCACCGGCUAACUACGUGCCAGCAGCCGCGGUAAUACGUAGGAUGCGAGCGUUGUCCGGAAUUACUGGGCGUAAAGGGCUCGUAGGUGGUUUGUCGCGUCGUCUGUGAAAUUCCGGGGCUUAACUCCGGGCGUGCAGGCGAUACGGGCAUAACUUGAGUACUGUAGGGGUAACUGGAAUUCCUGGUGUAGCGGUGAAAUGCGCAGAUAUCAGGAGGAACACCGAUGGCGAAGGCAGGUUACUGGGCAGUUACUGACGCUGAGGAGCGAAAGCAUGGGUAGCGAACAGG